Molecule: antisense RNA, 12055 nt
Filed under: Pan troglodytes (chimpanzee)
Lineage: Eukaryota; Metazoa; Chordata; Mammalia; Primates; Hominidae
Rfam family: Small nucleolar RNA SNORD116 (bases 4124-4215)
Source: RNAcentral
GCAGAGGUUGCAGUGAGCUGAAAUCGUGCCAUUGCACUCCAGCCUGGACAACAAGAGCAAAACUCUGUCUCAAAAAAAAAAAAAUUCCCAAUAGAUUUUAAUCUAAUUUUAUUAGAACAAUUCAGUCAUAUGUUUUUUCAUGCUAUGUAUAUGAGAGUUCCAUUAUUCAGUUACUAAACAAAUGUCUACUGUACAUUUACUGUUCUCACUGAUGAUGGAUUAGAUAACCAUGCACAAAAUAAGCCUGGCUGUGGAAAUGCUUAUUUGUUGGGAGGGUGCUUGUUUGGAUCGAUGAUGAGAAUAAUUGUCUGAGGAUGCUGAGGGACUCAUUCCAGAUGUCAAUCUGAGGUCCAGAUAUGUGGCCCUCCAAUAGGACAAAUAAGACUCUCAGAGCCUGGCUCUAUUUGGGGAUCCCUCAGUGACAACAUAGUACCUCUGUGAGCGUGCCUUUUCUAUCUCUCCGAAGAGGGCAUUAGCAUCCUGUCUUAUGAGUCAGUAUGCACUUUAGUAUGGUUAGUGACCCAAGACUCACUUUAUUUUGUUCAUUUUGAGCAGAGAAUUGUAGAUAGAUACAUAUAUGGGAAAUAUGUUCUUGAUUAACAAAUGAAAAAAUGAAAAAGUUUCAGUCAAGAAAGGUCAAGGAACUGUGAUGUAUAGUGAAGGCAGGGAACACUGCAUGCCUGUAUUAAAUAUUGACAAAGGAACCAAUUUUAGUGCUUUGUUAUUUUUACUGUUGAGUAUUUUCUGAGACCAUUUCUUUUUCUUCUAUUUUGUUUUGCUGAGGUAGAGGAGGGCUGGAAUGAGGUCCUCCACUUCAGAAAAUAGGGGUGAGUAGUUAAACCAACAUCCUUUGGAAUUCAUAUACGUCAUGCGUUCCAUGCCACAUCCUGAGGUCUUUUUGUUGAUUUUUUUAGUGGCUUACUGGAUAAUAUCUAAAUACUGUAUAUUUUACUUUGGUGAGUCUCUCCACCUUCAUUUCUGAAUCAUUGUCCUUUACAUUUUUAUUCUAUUUGAAUUUUGCAUGAAAUGACAAAUGUAGAAUUUUGCCCAAUUUAUUUUAUUUAUUCAUUCAUUUAUUUGGGAAGACAAAGUCUCUCUCUGUCACCCAGGCUGGAGUACAUUGGCCCAGUCAGAGCUCACCUCAGCUCUUCACCCUGUAGCCCUUAACUCCUGGGCUCAAGUGAUCCUCCACCCUCAGCCUCCCAAGUAUCUAGGAAUACAGUUGUCAUGGGAGGCCAGCCACCUGCUGGCAAGGAAGAUGGUUGAUUCUUCUGAUCAAUGGAGGCCCUGCAGAGUCCUGUAGUCACUGUGGCCUGGCAUCCAUGGUGCACCCAAUGCUGGUGGAUGGCUUAGGAUGAGGCAGUUGCUGUGGGAGGUGUGGUAACUGCUGGAAGGAAGAUGCUCAAUUCUUCUGAGCAACGAAGGCCUCAUGGAGUCCUGGAUUCUGUGUGGCCUGGCAUCCACGGUGCACUGUGUGCUGGCGGGUGGCUUAGGACGGGGCAGUUAUCAUGGGACACCCGCCAUAUGCUGGCAAGGAAGAUGGUCAGUUCUUCUGAGCCACGAAGGCCCCCAACAUCCUGGAGUUGGUGUGGCCUAGCAUCCACGGUGCGCCCCCUGCUGGUGGAUGGCUCAGGACGGGGCAGUUGCCGUGGGAGGCCCGCUGCCUGCUGGAAGGAAGAUGGUCAGUUCUUCUGAACCACAAAGGCCCUGCAGAGUCCUGGAGUCUGUGUGUCCUGGCUUCCAGGGUUCACCUCAUGCUGGUGGAUUGCUCAGGAUGGGUGCCGAAGGUCUUUAAGGUCGUCAGCUCACCUACUGCCCAGCCUGUGGUGUCAAAUGUCCUGCCUCUUCAAAUGUGUUUGGAUCGAUGAUGAGUCCCCCCAAAAAAACAUUCCUUGGAAAAGCUGAACAAAAUGAGUGAAAACUCAUACCGUCGUUCUCAGCGGAACUGAGGUCCAGCACGUUGCCUCCAGCAGGGACUGUUGGAGUGAGGGACAGCUUCCACUAGUCCCUAUAGGUUCCACCACCCAGGGCAUCUGCAGGGACAGUUGCCGUGGGAGGUCCGCUGCCUGCUGUCGAGGAAGAUGGUCAAUGCUUCUGAGAAACAGGCCCUGCGGGUUCCUGGAUUUGGUGUGGCCUGGCAUCCACGGUGCACCCGGUGCUGGCGGGUGGCCCAGGACGGGGCAGUUGCCUUGAGAGGCCCACCGCCUGCUGGCAUGACAGAUGGUCAGUUCUUCCGAGCAGUGGAAUCUCCAUGGAGUCGUGGAGUCGGUGUGGCCUCGCAUCCACAGUGCACCCCGUGCUGGUGGAUGGCUCAGGACGGGGCAGUUGCCGUGGGAGGCCUGCCGUCUGCUGAAAGGAAGAUGGUUGAUGCUUCUGAGCAAUGAAGGCCCCAUGGAGUCCUGGAUUCGGUGUGGCCUUGCAUCCGUGGUGCACCCCAUGCUGGUGGAUGGCUCAGGACGGGGCAGUUGCCAUGGGAGGCGCAGGCCUGCUGGAAGGAAGAUGGUCGAUUCUCCCAAGCAACAAAGGCCACGUAGAGUCCUGGUUUCAGUGUGGCCUGGUAUCCACAGUGCACCCCAUGCUGGUGGGUGGCUCAGGAUGCACACUCAUUUCCUCUGCACCUUCCCGGUGUCAUUGGCAUGGAAGGAAGGCCCUUGUCCAAGAAGGAUGGUCUUCGUCUUGUGUGAUCUUUGAGAUGCCAUGAGGCCCCUGGAUACAAAUGGUGUGGGCUCCUUUGGAGGCUUUUGGAUUUCUCCUGAAUGUGGCGUUGGUAUGGAAGGAAGGCCAGUGACCGCAAGGGAUGACUUUGAUCUUGGGAGAUUUUUGGAGAUGGCAAAGUGCUUCUAAACAUGUUUGGCGUGGUCUCCUUCAGGCUGAUGGAUACCUCAGGAUGGUGGCAUUGGCAUGGAAGGAAGGACUGUGUCUGUGAGGGAUGAUCAUCCUCUCAUGUGAUCCUUGGAGAUGCCAGGAAGCCCCUUGACACAUGUGGCAUGGGCUCCUUCAGAGGCUUUUGGAUCCGUCGUGAAUGUGGCAUGGGCAUGCAAAGAAAGACAGAGGCUGCAAGGGAUGAACUUCAUCUUGGGAGAUCCCUGGAGAUGGCAGGGAACCCAUGGACACAUGUGGCAUGGGCUCCUUUGGGUGCCGGUGGAUCCCUUCAUAUGGUAAAGCCAGAGUUGGGUAUCAACCAGAUACACUGCAGGGGAUCAGAGGACAUGGCCUUUGUGUACUGCACAUCUGUCAGAUUUUCUCAAGCACACCCGUGUUUCCUCUUCACCUCCCACGUGGAAGUGAUGAAUUGGCCAGGACCAUCUUGGUGAGGGACAAUCAUCAUCUCAUGUUAACCUCAGAGAUGCCAGGAAGCUUCUGGACACACAUGGUGUAGGCUUCCUUGGAGGCUGUUGGAUCUCUCCUGAAUGUAGUGUUGGUGUAAAAGGCAAACCCGUGUCAUGAGGGAUGGUCAUCAUCUCGUGUGAUCGUUGGAGAUGGCAGGAAGCCCUGGACAUACAUGGUGUGGGGGCUCCUCCAGAGGCUGUUGGAAUCCUCCUGGAUGUGGUGUGGGCAUGGAAGGAAGGCCAGUGGAGACAAUGGAUGAUCUUGUUCUUAGCAGAUCACUGGACGUGGCAGGGAGUCCUAGGACAUGUGUGGUGUGGGCUUCUUCAGGUGCUGGUGGUGUUGGCAUGAGGAAAGGAGGUAUCUUCGAGGGACAAUCUUCUUCUUGUGCGAUCCUUGGAGAUGCCAUGAGGCCCCUGGACACAUGUGGUGUGGGCUCCUUUGGAGGCUGUUGUAUCCCUUCUGAAUGUGGCGUGGGCAUAGAAGGAAGGCCAGUGGCCAUGAGGGACAAUCUUGGUCUUGGGAGAUCCUGGAAAUGAUAGGGAGUCCCUUGAUAUGUGUGGCAUGGGCUCCUUCAGGUGCUAGUGGAUUCCUUAGGAUGGUGGUGUUGGCAUGAAAGGCAGGCUUGUAUCAUGAGGAAUGAUUGUCAUCUUGUAUGAUUCUUGGAGAUGGCAGGAAGCCCCUGGAAACACAUGGUGUGGACUCCUUCACAGGCUGUUGAAACCCUCCUGAAUGUAAGUGAUUUCAUUCCAAAGCACCCUGAGUUUCCUCAUUUGCAGGGAUGAAACCUGUGCGUGGAUCGAUGAUGACUUCCAUAUAUACAUUCCUUGGAAAGCUGAACAAAAUGAGUGAAAACUCUAUACCGUCAUCCUCGUCGAACUGAGGUCCAGCACAUUACUCCAACAGGGGCUAGACAGAGAAGGCCAACAUCCGUUUGUUGACAUGGGUUAUACCAAGGCGUCUGUUCAGGCUUAGAAUGUGGUCUCUUAUGGGUGAUGGGGGUCACAGGAGAGUGGUGGCUCCCACGUAUAGGAAAUUUCUUGUUUGAAGGACUGUCAGUGAGGGUGGGUAACACAUGCAUUGUCUGCAGGACUAGGUGAAUGUCCAUGUGGCCUAGCAAGAGUUCGCUGGUAGCCCGCCUCUGGUUGCCAAUUUGUUCUUGAGUUCUUGUUCUGGGUUCUCAGGUUCCACAGAGGAAAACAGAUCUGUGUGGUUGAGAGGUGGGUACAAGGCCGCAUCUUUGUCAUUUGUUGGCUAACUUUGUCCUUGGUUGAGGACAUUAGAGUUUUGGUCACCAGGCAUAGUCUAUGUGCCUUUGUGCCCGUGUUGUAUCCCAUGUGUUUUGAGGACAUGUAUUUUGCACGUAAGGGUGAGCUCCUGCUCAUUGCUUCUGAUACCCAAGGAGUCCCUGGCUUAUCCUAAACCCAAUAUAGGUUAAAGCCUUUCUCAUUAGGGGCCCAGGGUCCCAAGGCUUUUGUGAGUAUCAUUGUAGGUAUUGAAGCAACGAUGUUGAGAAGGAUGCUGAACAUGCUCUUUAGUGGGAUGAUGUACUCUGAAGGCUCCUGACCCCCAGACGAGCAUCCUUGUGUCCAUGCACUUCUGUGUUUAUGAACAGGUGAGGCCAGAGACAGGCAGACAGCAGAUGUAUUGCAGGGAGCUGGAUGACAUGGCCCUUGGAACCUGUGCACAUGCCUGCCUUUCUGAUGCACGUCCAUGUUUUCUCUGCACCUCCCCGGUGGUGUUGGUAUAAAAAGCAGGCUUACAUCAGCAAGGGAUGAUUGUCAUCUCAUGCGAUCCUGGGAGAUGGCAGAAGUCCCGGGACACAUGGAGUGUGGGCUCUUUCGGAGGCUGUUGGAUCCCUCCUGAAUGUAAGUGAUUCCUUCUUAAAGAAUGCUGAUUUUCCUCAUUUGCAGGGGCAAGGACUGGAUCGAUGACGACUUCCAUAUGUACUUUCCUUGGAAAGCUGAACAAAAUGAGUGAAAACUCUAUACCGUCAUCCUCGUGUGUUGUGGCCAUGGAAGUAAGGCCAGUGGCUACGAGGGACAGUCUUCAUCUUGGGAGAUCCCUAGAGAGGGCAGGGAGCCCCUUGACAUGUGGAAUGUGGUCUCCGUUGGGUGCUGGUGGAUCCCACAGGUGGUCUGGCAUGGAAGAAGUCCAGAGGCUGCGAUGGAUCAUCUUUGUCUUGGGAGAUUCCUGGAGAUGGUGGGGAGCCCCUGGGCACGUGCAGCAUAUGUGGCGUGGGCUUCUUCAGGUGCUGGUGGAUCCCUCAGGAUGCUUUUCAAGGUUUUUCUAUGAGUUCUGUUAAAGAGUCUGAAAAUGGAGCGUAGAAGACAUGCUUCGAUUUCCAGGAUGGUUGUGUUUUCCAGAGAGGCGAAGGUAAACCAUUGGCGCAGCCCUGCCUCCCACAGAUAAUUCCGGGUGCAGUGUUUCAUAUCUAGACUUGGACUUCUAUCCUACCAUACUUCUUUGUGUGCAGUUCAUUGUGGAACCAGCACAGAUUUUCAUACGAAAGUUAUUUCUUUUUAACCUCAAAAAGUGACAGAAUGGAGUGUAUCAUGAAAAAGUCUGACAUCAAAACCUCAAAAUGUGAUAUUGAUUGGGUGAGAUAGAAUUCCAUGGAAUUUCAUUGCCAAACCAGUGAAGUGCUAAUUUUGACAUUUGUACCAGCUAACGUAGCCGUGAAGAAACACACCAAUACACUUCUAAGGACAGCAUAGACCAAGAUCUAGGUUUCAUAUGGAUGAAUUUAUUCUUCCCUUUGAGGCAAGACAAGAAGGAAAGAAAGUAUUGGGAAUAAUGCUGCCCUCCCAUCCUCAAGGGCCAGUGGGAACUCUAAUAUUGGUAAGCCUUUUGUCCUGAAAAUACCAGCAUUUCCUCUUAGGGAAUCAUAACACUCUGCUAACCGUGAGACUCUGGCUAUGCUAGUCCGCCAUGGGCUGGUCACUGACUGUGAUCCUGGUCUCCAUGAUUGAAUAGUGUGGUCCAGUGUGUCUCAGAGUGACAGAUGUGCUCAGUGUCUGCCACAUAUCUCAGACUCAAGGUCCCUUUUAUAAAUGUGCCUGGAUCGAUGAUGACUAUAAAAAAAAUGGAUCUCAUCGGAAUCUGAACAAAAUGAGUGACCAAAUCAUUUCUGUGCCACUUCUGUGAGCUGAGGUCCAGCACUGGGACCAUGCCAGGCAAACAUGAGGAGGGAGUUUACAGGGACUAGGGUAUUGGAAAACUAACCUACCCAUAUAUAUUAGAGCAAAUGAAUUGUUCUCAGUUCUGUAAAUAUCCAGCUGUGGUUUGACAUAGCAACUCUCUUUGUAUUUGCUUGGCAGCAUUUAUAGAAACAGCUGGUAGACCCUGGGGAACCAGGGCAUAGUGAGAUUCAUGGGACGUUAUUUCACCUACUCUUGAGCCAUUCACACAUUUGAGCUCGCAGAAUUAUCUGGUCGAUGAUCAGUCUCUUGAGGAUAAUGAGAUGGUCAACAUCCAAAUCCAAAGAUACUAAUGAGAUUUUACUUUUUUUUUUGAGGUGGAGUCUCAUUCUGUUGCCCAGGCUGGAGUGCAGUGGCAUAAUCUCGGCUCACUGCAACCUCCACCUCCUGGGUUCAAGAGAUUCUCCCGCCCCAGCAUCCUGAGUAGCUGGGAUUACAGGCGCCCGCCACCACCCCUGGCUAAUUUUUGUAUUUGUAGUAGAGAUGGAGUUUCACCAUAUUGGCCAAGCUGGUCUCGAACUCCCAACCUCAGGUGAUCCAGCCACCGCAGCCUCCCAAAGUGUUGGGAUUACAGGCAUGAGCCACCGUGCCCGGCCUUACUUUUUAUUUUCAAUUAAGUGAAACAAUUACAUGGAAAUUGAAAAAAAAAAAGGUACUCUAAGUAGACUACUCUAGUGUAUUUUAAUUUUCUUGCCAAUUCAGCCACUAGGAUUGUGUCACUUGUUUUUUUGAUUUUAGUUUUUCGUAUCAAAAAGCAAACCACUGUUUAUAUUUGAGUGCUGGUUUCAACUGUAUGCUGCCUCAAAUAAACUUAGAUUAUAUUACAAAUUCUUUUUUACAUAGAUUUCAUUGGCUAUAUUCAUAUAUCCUCAAAGGUUUCCAUUGUGUUUGAAGAGGUAUCCUAAUUGUAAUAAAUGCUUUUGACUGGGGAUGCCAGGGAAGCUUUGAGACUAAUGUCUCAGAUUUUUUUUAAAAAAGUUUAUAUUCUAUAGUGAUCAAAGAUGUAAGAAUAAUUUUUCUUGUCAUUCAUUGGAUAGUCCAGUGAGUGUCUACUGUGAAUUCUUAUAUUCACUUGUAACUAAACAUUCCAUUUGGCAAAUUUCGUUUCAUAACUUCCCUAAUUUCCUCUACACUUUGUAGAUUGGGUGAGAUACAAUUCCAUGGAAUUUUACCACUGAACCAGUGGAGGGCUAAUUUUGUCAUUUGUACCAGUUAACUAACUUGGGAGGAAACAGAACAACACACUCCUGAGGUAGUAUCCAAUUUUUAGUAAAUUUAUUUUUAUUAUUUUUCAAACUGUCAGUGAUUUGGUUUGGUGAACAAUAGGUUAAUACAGACAAUGUUAGGAAUUAUUAAUCUGAUGCGCUAUCUGAAGCAUCAGUUUCCUUUAUUUUUAAGAUUUUUUUCUUCUCUGUAGUUUGGAUAACAUUUAAAACAUUACCAAGAGUUUAUAAAUUAGUAUAUUUUCUAUGCUGAUUAAUAAUGAAACCUUUUGUCUUAUACAAAUUUUUAAAAAAUGGACGUGUGUGUGCAUGUGUAUAUAUAUAUAUAUAUAUAUAUAUAAUCUCUUCUCACAAGAUGAUGCAGACUAAAACUGCAUUUUACAUUUUAUAUGGCUAAGUUUAUUGUUUCCUUGUGUUGUAAUAUGAUGGAAAGUAAUGGGAAUAAUUCUGCUUCCUGUCCUUAGGGACCAGUAGGAAUUUUCCCAUGAUAAGCAUUUUGUCCUUAAAAUACUGACAUCCUGUUAAGAGAUCAUGACACUCCAAUGACCAUGAGACCCUGGCUAUGCUAGUCAGCCAGGGGGCUGACCAUUGACAGUGAUGCUGGUCUCCAUGAUUAAAUAGUGUGGGUCAGCAUGUCCCAGGGUGACAGAAAGCUGUGUGAUCAGUGUCUGUCACAUAUCUCAGACUCAGGGUUCCUUUUUAAAAUGUGCCUGGAUCGAUGAUGACUUAAAGAUUUAUCUAAUUUAAAUCUGAACAAAAUGAGUGACCAAAACACUUCUGUACCACUUCUGUGAGCUGAGGUCCAGCACAGAGACCACUCCAGUCAAACAUGUGUUGCCUGGAGUUGCAACUAGUUGGUCAGUUAGAAGCAACCACAGGGACUGGGGUAUUUGAAAACCACUUGAGUGCAUUUAUUAGAGGAAACGAAUUUUACAUUUGUGUAUAAAAAUUCAAUUGUAGGGUAAAAUGGAAACUCUGAGAGUUUGGUUGGCGGCAUCUAUAUACCAUAGAAACAGAGCCUGGGAAGCAGAACAGUGAGACCCAAGAGAAAUGUUCCUGCCUAUACUUGGUCUGUUAUCACAUUUGCCUGAGCUACUGAUUGACCUUUUGAGGGUGAUGAGAUGGUCAAAAUCCAAGGAUAUGAUGAGUUUUUACUUCUCAUUUUCUUUUUUUUUUUAUUAUACUUUAAGUUUUGGGGUACAUAUGCAGAACGUGCAGUUUUGUUACAUUGGUAUACACGUGCCAUGGUGGUUUGCUGCACCCAUCAACCCAUCAUCUACAUUAGAUUGGUUUUCACAGAAUUCCAUGGACUUUAACUGCUGAAGUAAUGAUGUGCUGAUUUUGUCAUUUGUACCAGCUAACUCAUCUGGGAGGCAACAAAACAAUACUCUCCUGAGGUUAAUGUGGACCAAAAACUAGAUUUCAUAUAAAAGAGUUUAUUCCUUCUACUUGAGGUGUGACAUGAAGGAAAGUAAUGGAAAUAAUUCUGCCCUCCCAUUCUCAAGGGCCAGGGGGAAUUCAAAUAUUGAACGGAAGUGAUUUUGGAAUUGCAUGGAAUUCUCACUGCCAUCCCAAAGAAAUGCUGAUCUUGUCACUCUUACCUGUUUCAUUCCCUGGGGCAGAACAAAAGGACGCACUCCAAAGAUGGGCAUGAACCAAGAACUGGGUUUCAUAUAAAAUAUUUUAUUCUGUCCUCUUGAGAUGUGACAUGAGAAAAGUAUUGAGAAUACUUCUAUCACCUCAUCUUCAAGAAUCCGUAGGAAUUCUCCCAUGGUGGACUUUAUGGUUAACCUGAACAGGUCUUGGAAAAAGGACUUUAAACAUUCUCCUGUUCUGUGGAAUAAGUAUACUUUUUUCUGGACAUACACGUUGUCAGUGAGUUCCAUGUGAUACUAGAGUUGCAUAGAUUUUUAACCUUUACGCCAAUGAAGAUCUGAGGCAAACAUUGCCCCUUUUUUAGAAGUUUGCAUUUGUCACUGAUAACUGUAAUAAUUGAUCUUGUUGAAAAGCCUGGGAAAUGAAGAUCUGAUACGUCACUUUUACCGGCUUCCUCAACUGAAAAAGAAUACAAUGAAACACGCUGAGAAUUUUUGUGCUUUCUCAGUCUUGCUGAUGAUCUUUCUAUGGGCCUGAAGCGUGGAGAGUGCCAGAGAGGCUGAUCCUCAGCAGUGUGGCAGAGGAAAGUUGGGUGCGACUAAGGGGUAUGCGGUGCCCAAAUGCCACUGGGUCCUCAGCAGUACCACCUGAUUGGAAGUGAUAUUGGUGGAAGACAACAUUUUGCCGCUUGGAAUUCUCACCUCCACACCAAAGAAGUACUGUUUUUGUCAUUUGCACCAGCUUCUUUCUCCAGGAAAGAUCAAAACGAUGCACUGCAAGUGUGGUUGGUCCAGAUAGCUGCCUUAUCCAACUGCCUCCUUUGGACCACUUCAUCAUGGGACAGCUUGAUGCAAUCUACUUGACAAGACCCUGGAACCCCACACCCCUCAUGGAACCAGUGUCCACCUCCCAGUCACAGUGUGACCCCAGGGAACUCUUGCCUGCUUGCUUUAAACCCACCACUUAAAAGUCUCCACAGAAAACCUGUUUGAAUAGUACCUUUGACCCAAUAAGGGCAUUGGCCCAUGGGUGUCUCUCUCUCUCUCUCUCCCUCUCUCUCUCUCUCGCUCCCUGACCUCUGCGUGUGGACUCCAGGCAUGCCAUAUACCCCUCAGGACCUGAAGCAAGAGAAUGAAUUAAAGAAAACUCCAGAGAAUGAGCUGACAACCUACUCCCUGGUCACUGGCUCUCCAUGCCUACCUGUGGUCUCUUGGACACCCUUGCAGAAGAUGACUUCCUGGGAACUCUUCUGGGAGUGAAUGUUAUCAGCAAAUUCCCAAAACAACACCCCUUAGACAAAAAGCCUCCUCACCUAUGCAUUGCCUAGACCACCCACUAAAGGUGAUGGCCACAAAGAGGUGGAUUUGUUGAGUUGGUGCCAUUCCUUCUACUGCCAGCUUCACCAAAACAAUGACACAGUCUUCCUUCUGCAUGGAGACUCUUCUCUUUCCUGUGUUGCAGUGGAUGCCUCCUGCAGAUAAGAAAUGCUUAACUGAGAAAUGCUCAUGUUGGGAUAUCAUCGAUGAGACUUUAAUUUGGGCAUGGUGACUGUUUCCCUUGCUGCCACUUGACUCAAUCCCAGGAGCCUCAGUAGAGGAUAUAAUAUUACACAAGAUGCUCAAAAUGGUGGAAUUGCUCAGUGCUCCCAUAAAUAUACAUUUAUAAUUUUCAUUUGCCACAUGGUAAACUGAAAAAUACAGACUAUAUUAAAAAGAAACUGCAUGAUUUUUUUUCAAAAAUUCAAAGCAUAUUUAAAUAAUAUAUAAAUUAAAUGCCCUCCUCUCUUCCAAUUCUGUCCCUAUACUUUUCCUCUAUUAAGUGAACUACAUGCAUUCUUUUAGUGGAUAGAUGCACACAAACACACAAGCCAUUAUGGGGAAGGAUCCACGUGUGUGGCCAUAUUGUAACACAUUUUUCUGCAAAUUACCUCUUUCAUUUAACAGCCCUUAUUCAAUGGCCUUUUUCUUUUUCAGUAGUACAUACACAUCUGUGUCAUUUGUUGAAUGACGACAUGAAUGUUUUGUAGAUAAAAUAUAAUUAAAUGUUUUAAGCAUUUCUCACUCAUAGAUAUUUAUGUUAGCACCAAAUUUCUGUGCAAUGAACCUCCCUAUAUAUCAGUAAUUUUGCAUUUGUCUAUAAUAUCAUAAUAAAUUACUUAUCAGUUGAAUUACUGGGAUUAAGUAUGUGCACACUUUAUAUUUAUAUUUUGAAAAUUAUUGCAAGAUUGCCUUCAAAAAUGUGGUUAACAACUUUAUCUUCAAAUGGCAAUGAAUGAGAUUGCCAGCUUUCCUACAACCUCACAGACAAUGGAUUUUAUAAAUAUUUAACAUUUUUGCCAAUGUGAUCACCCAAACUAUUGUCUUAAAUUGUAUUUCUUUUGUUUUUGAGUUUGGUCAUUUUUUCAUGUUUAUUAGCCAUCUGUAUUUUUUAAUUUCUUCUUUAUGUCCAAUUUUGUGGGUGGGAGGAGGAUUUAGUCUCUUCCUGAUUUCGAAGAGCUCAUUUACUAUUUCGGGAAAUAAGAUUUGGAUUGUCAACCAUUAUAGCUAUUUUUUACACACUUUUCAACUUUGUUUUUGUUAUAAGAAUGUGUAUGAUUGUUACAUGUCCAAGUAUAACCAUGUUCGCUUUUAUGGCUUCUGAGUUUCAUGUCAUUUUUGGAAAGAUAUAUAUAUUGAGUCCAUAAAACCCUUCACCUAUGUUAAAUUUGAA